RNAcentral lists this ribosomal RNA (512 nucleotides) under uncultured bacterium. Its description in RNAcentral is "partial 16S ribosomal RNA". It matches the Rfam family "Bacterial small subunit ribosomal RNA", at positions 28 to 507 of the family's 1533-position model. The record is from RNAcentral.
GAUGAACGCUGGCGGCGUGCCUAAUACAUGCAAGUCGAACGAAACUUCUUUAUCACCGAGUGCUUGCACUCACCGAUAAAGAGUUGAGUGGCGAACGGGUGAGUAACACGUGGGCAACCUGCCCAAAAGAGGGGGAUAACACUUGGAAACAGGUGCUAAUACCGCAUAACCAUAGUUACCGCAUGGUAACUAUGUACAAGGUGGCUAUACUACCGCUUUUGGAUGGGCCGGCGGCGCAUUAGCUAGUUGGUAGGGUAUAGGCUUACCAAGGCAAUGAUGCGUAGCCCAAUUGAGAGGUUGAUCGGCCACAUUGGGACUGAGACACGGCCCAAACUCCUACGAGAGGCAGCAGUAGGGAAUCUUACGCAAUGGGCGAGAGCCUGAUGGAGCAACGCCGCGUGGGUGAAGAAGGUCUUCGGAUCGUAAAGCCCUGUUGUUAGAGAAGAAAGUGCGUGAGAGUAGCUGUUCACGUUUUGACGGUAUCUAACCAGAAAGCCACGGCUAACUACGUG